This 73-nucleotide transfer RNA is filed under the name Sargassum ilicifolium. RNAcentral describes it as "tRNA-Arg". It matches the Rfam family "tRNA". From Rfam's summary of the family: Transfer RNA (tRNA) molecules are approximately 80 nucleotides in length. Their secondary structure includes four short double-helical elements and three loops (D, anti-codon, and T loops). RNAcentral also lists the same sequence under 1 other name. The record is from RNAcentral. Lineage: Eukaryota; Phaeophyceae; Fucales; Sargassaceae.
GCAUUUUUAGCUCAGUGGAUAGAGCAACGGUCUUCUAAAUCGUAGGUCAUAGGUUCAAAUCCUAUAAGAUGUA